RNAcentral lists this small nuclear RNA (19 nucleotides) under Arabidopsis thaliana (thale cress). Its description in RNAcentral is "snRNA_06458". The record is from RNAcentral. Lineage: Eukaryota; Viridiplantae; Streptophyta; Magnoliopsida; Brassicales; Brassicaceae.
AUAAGGAAUGCUUCUGAUU